Arachis stenosperma is the source of this 3137-nucleotide long non-coding RNA. RefSeq lists it as uncharacterized. The transcript is spliced from 5 exons. The record is from RefSeq and is a predicted model, not a curated record. NCBI's taxonomy places the organism in Eukaryota, Viridiplantae, Streptophyta, Magnoliopsida, Fabales, Fabaceae.
AUCAAUUGCCAACACAUAGUAAAAACUCUCCCACCCAAAACAGAAACUCACAAGUCACAACGGCACAACCUCAAGCAUUCCCUCCAUCGCUGAUCACCGUCGUAGACGUUGCCAUCACUGACAACUGUCCAUCAUUCAAACUGCAUCGUUGUUCCUAUUUUCAUCCUCCGCCUCAGAUCCGCAUUACUGUCUUCGUUUCUUCGUUCGUCUCAGAUCUAUGUCGCUACGGUGGAACCAGCAUCACUUUCAUCUUCGAAAGCAUCGUCAAUGGCGACAAGGAAGUUCAACGCGGAAGUUGAGGAGCUUCUUGACCAGAUGCUCGCUGCAAAAUUUCAAGAUUGAGCUCUUCUUCUCCAAGCUCCUCCUUCUCUGCAUCUCCUCCAAUUUCGGCGCUGCAUGUUCGUGAAAAGUGUCUUGCGUGAGAACUUCCACUUCAACAGAUCGGUUGGGAACGGGUCAAUCUAUGAGAGAUGGUGAGACCUUAGUUUCAGUUGAUGGAAGCUUUGAACUGGGUUUCUUCAGUCCUAAAACUGGCACAAGUUGGUAUUUGGGUGUGUGGUACAGAGAUGCAUCAAGAAACCCGAUAGUAGUGUGGGGGGCCAAUAGAGAAAGACCCCUUCAAAGCACGUCCGGACUCUUGAAAUUCAGUGACAAGGGAAUUCUUCAACUUCUCAAUGACGCAAACACUAGUGUUGUUUGGUCAUCCAACAUAUCUUUAUCCCUCCAAGCUUCAAAUAACUUAACUGCACAGCUCUUGAACUCGGGAAAUCUUGUUGUGAAGUACCAACACGCUAUGUUGCAUAGCCAACAGGAUGCUGCGGAGGACAACUUCUUGUGGUAGAGUUUUGACCAUCCUUCUGAUACGUUGAUGCCAGGAAUGAACCUUGGAUUAAACUUAGUUACUGGUCUGAAUAGAUUUCUAUCAUGUUGGAAAAGCUCAAAUGAGCCUGCUAUAGGAGAGUAUUCUUUAAAAAUUAAAUCCUAUGUUUGUUUAAUGCACAUUAAAAGAUUUGGAAGAGAUGCCAAAAAAGAUGAGCAAAUUAAAAGAUUUGCAAUUUUGAACUAGAAAGCAAGAUUUAUGGUCAACGCUGUGAUCACAAUACGUGAGUAUUGAUCAGUAGUUACUUACUUUACUCUGUAAACAUAGCUGUUUUAAAUAUAGUCAAUUUUAUAUUAUCACCCAUUUGAUAUAUAAAGUAGCAGUAUAGACCUAUACAUUAUGUUCAUUUGGAUAUUUCUUUUUGUUAUCUUUUGGUCUUUGUUAGUUCUAUUGUAAGAUACGAUUCUUUUGUUUGAUAGUAGUUUAUAUAUUUGUUUAAAAGAAGCGAAAUUAAAAUAGAAAGAAAAUGUGUAUGUGUGUUCUUUGCAGACCUUGGGGUAUGGCUAUUGAUAAUAUUGCUGAAGAGGCCACAAAAAGACUUCCUCCCUUGCCUCUGCAUAUUGACCGUCCACUUGGAUAUGAUUCUGAACUUGAAGAGGUUAAAUUACUUUUGGACAUUGGUUCUCAUGCUACCUGUUUCGUGCUGGGAAUUCAUCGAGAUGGUGAAAUAGGCAAAUUUGUUGCGGAGCUGUACAACAAGAUUAGGGCUCACUUUGUAAUUGCAAGUUUUCUUUCUAAUAUCAGUGAGAAAACAAAUGAAAGUGGUGGUGGUCUAGAACAUGUACAAGAAACACUUCUUUCUGAGAUGGGAGAGGAGGUGAAGUCUAAGAUUGGAAGCACAUUCAAAGGAUCCUCUGAAAUAAAACGAAGACUAGGAUUAAUAUUAAAUCCAUGUUUCCAGGAUCUGUGACUACCAAGCAAGCCCAACUCAAUAUUAUUGGCAUGAAUCAAUAUAUUAUAAUAUGCUUUAUGAUCAAGACUUAAUCGUAACUGAAUUUUGAAUAUGAAAACGGCAGUACACUGAAAAACAUAAUUAUUUUAAGAUCUGCAGCUAGAAGGAAACUUCUGAAAAUGUGCUAGCCUGUCCUAUAGAUUAUGAAACAUUUGCAUGCUUUAUAGGCUCAAUUCACAUGAAAUUUAGUUUCUUUAGGUGUUCUUGUAGUCUAUGUUAAUCAGGAAACAUAUCCAACUUCUUUAUCUGUCAUAUUGAUUUGUUCAAAAUAUUUAUUUGAUAGGAUGAAUUAGGAUUAUUAGAAUACAAAAUUGAGCUUGGUAAUAUCUGGUCCCACUUUUAUGCUUCGAUCUUUGUAAAUAGGCAGAACAAUUAGACCAUUAAUUAACCUCGAACACCUCUGACACUUUGACGCGUGCACAGAUCUGGAGCAGGGGUUUAGUGUCGGGAGUGGUGGUGUUUGCUUUCGUCUUCGUAUUUGUCUCUGCAGACGAUGUUGUUGUGCUCAUGGAAGAUAACUUUGAAAAGGAGGUUGGUCAGGACAGAGGAGCACUUGUUGAGUUCUAUGCUCCUUGGGCUUCGUCCCACUACCAGGAUCAAACAAUGAAUCUUGGUGCCAAGGGUUAGAUGGAUUGGCUUCCAGAUCUGCUGAAUACUACAAGCAAGGUGCUCGAUUUGCCAAGUGGUAUUUUUUGGCUGAAAUUGAGGGAGCUGAACAAAAAUCUGAUUUAGGCUGAAAAAGGACUGCUGAUGUUGUUGGAUUCUGACCUCCCUGCACUCGGAAUGGAUUUUUUGGAGCUACAGAAGUUUAAUUGGCCUGCUCUCAAUUGAGUUGGAAAGUAGACAUCCAGGACUUUCCAACAAUAUAUAAUAGUCCAUACUUUGUGCGAAGAUAGACGACGUAAACUUGCGUUCAACGCCAGUUCCAUGUUGCAAUCUGGCGUUCAGCGCCAGAAACACGUCACAAACUAGAGUUGAACACCAAAAAGACGUUACAACUUGGCGUUCAACUCCAAAAACAGCCCAAGCACGUGAGAAGCUUAAGUCUCAGCCCCAGCACACACCAAGUGGGUCCUAGAAGUGGAUUUCUGCACUAUCCAUCUUAGUUUACUCAUUUUCUAUAAACCUAGGUUAUUAGUUUAGUAUUUAAACAACUUUUAGAGAAUUAUUUUGUAUCUCAUGACAAUUUUUAGAUCUGAAUUUUAUACUCUUUGACGACAUGAGUCUCUAAGCUCCAUUGUUGGGGGUGAGGAGCUCUGCAGCGUCUCGAUGAAUUAAUGCAAUUAUCUAUGUUUUCCAUUCAAA